This 449-nucleotide ribosomal RNA is filed under the name uncultured bacterium. RNAcentral's name for it is "partial 16S ribosomal RNA". It matches the Rfam family "Bacterial small subunit ribosomal RNA", at positions 29 to 523 of the family's 1533-position model. The record is from RNAcentral.
AGCGAACGCUGGCGGCAGGCCUAACACAUGCAAGUCGAACGAACUCUUCGGAGUUAGUGGCGGACGGGUGAGUAACACGUGGGAACGUGCCUUUAGGUUCGGAAUAACUCAGGGAAACUUGUGCUAAUACCGAAUGUGCCCUUCGGGGGAAAGAUUUAUCGCCUUUAGAGCGGCCCGCGUCUGAUUAGCUAGUUGGGGAGGUAACGGCUCACCAAGGCGACGAUCAGUAGCUGGUCUGAGAGGAUGGACAGCCACACUGGGACUGAGACACGGCCCAGACUCCUACGGGAGGCAGCAGUGGGGAACCUUGCGCAAUGGGCGAAAGCCUGACGCAGCCAUGCCGCGUGAAUGAUGAAGGUCUUAGGAUUGUAAAAUUCUUUCACCGGGGACGAUAAUGACGGUACCCGGAGAAGAAGCCCCGGCUAACUUCGUGCCAGCAGCCGCAGUAA